UACGGAGGGGGCUAGCGUUGUUCGGAAUUACUGGGCGUAAAGCGCACGUAGGCGGCUUUGUAAGUUAGAGGUGAAAGCCCUGGGCUCAACCCAGGAAGUGCACAUGAUACUACGUGGCUGGAGUACUGAAGAGGAGAGCGGAAUUCCCGGUGUAGAGGUGAAAUUCGUAGAUAUCGGGAGGAACACCAGUGGCGAAGGCGGCUCUCUGGGCAGAUACUGACACUGAGACGCGAAAGCGUGGGUAGCAAACAGG
This 253-nucleotide ribosomal RNA is filed under the name uncultured bacterium. RNAcentral's name for it is "partial 16S ribosomal RNA". It matches the Rfam family "Bacterial small subunit ribosomal RNA", at positions 524 to 776 of the family's 1533-position model. The record is from RNAcentral.